GGGAGAUGAUGAAGAAGAUAUAUUGGUCCGUGUUUCUGAUUUACCGUGACUGAUACUUCAGUACGAAUCUCUGAUCCC
Elaeis guineensis (African oil palm) is the source of this 78-nucleotide small nucleolar RNA. RefSeq annotates it as small nucleolar RNA SNORD18. Lineage: Eukaryota; Viridiplantae; Streptophyta; Magnoliopsida; Arecales; Arecaceae. The record is from RefSeq and is a predicted model, not a curated record.